This 27-nucleotide non-coding RNA is filed under the name Rattus norvegicus (Norway rat). The record is from RNAcentral. Lineage: Eukaryota; Metazoa; Chordata; Mammalia; Rodentia; Muridae.
UGAGAAGUGGGUAGUAUGAAUUCUAAC